UGCGAUAUUUUUGCGUUUUUU
RNAcentral lists this non-coding RNA (21 nucleotides) under Caenorhabditis elegans. The record is from RNAcentral. Lineage: Eukaryota; Metazoa; Nematoda; Chromadorea; Rhabditida; Rhabditidae.